GUACAGUCCAGCUGGAUUGGUUACAGCUCUGCCUUUGCCUUGUUUGAACACAGUUUGAACGGUCCGCGGUGUUUGAAUGGUUGAAGUACGGUGGCUGGGAUUGGCCAAGACUCAUCUAUUGUUACAGACGCGUACUCCUAAGUUAGGUUUUCAGCCUUGCCUACCUGUUCAGCUAGAUUGCGGUUCAUAUACAAGGUCUCAAAUGUAGAAGUAUGGAGUCAUUCUCAGGCCAUGUUGAGUUGGCUUUAACACAGCUCAAAAUGAGUUCAUAGGAUUCAAGCUUUCUAGUCAUCUCCCUUCUUGGAAUCUGCAUGCUAGCCUGAUGACCUGUCCCUUGUCCCCACCGGAAGACUUCAGAGGGUGACCGGUUGCCAUCAGUAGCUGUUUCCUAUCGGCCUUAGUAUUUCCAGAUAUCUUCUAGUGCUGGGGAGGACUGGCAGAUUCUACACAGACCAUGGGAUAUGGAAGACUGAAUAAUGACCGCCAAAGGCACCCAGGCCCUAAUUUCUGGAACCUGUGAUUCUUACAUCAUAAAAGAGACUUUGCGUAUGUAAUCCAAUUAAGUCUUGAGUUAGGGAAAUUGCACUGGAAUUUCGAGGCGAGCCCUAAAUACAAUCACAAAAGGAAGGCAGAGGGAGAUUUGAUUAGACAGAAGAAGUCAACAGGACCACUCCUGCAACAUGCUACGCUGCUGACUUUGGAGAAUGAGGAAGGGGUCACGCACUGAGGAAUGCAGGGGAUGGGACUCUAAGAAGCUAGAAACGGCAAGGAAACAAGAUUCUUCCCUACUGUCCCUGGAGUGAGUGUGGCCCCGCUGACACCCAGGAAGCUGCUUCCGGGUUUCUGACCUAGUGAGGUGAUCUUGGUCAGAAUGUGAGAAAAUUGUGUCUGCCUAGGAGCACCAGUGGUGACCUGGCAUUGCAACAAGAUAGCAGCAGAGCUGAACAAGCCCAAUUGGUACCAGAUUCCUUUCUGUUCUGUCAAGCGGAAAAUGGAAGGCAUCUGAGGCUGAUCCUUCCCAGAAAUUAAUUCCAGAGGCUGCCACAUCUGGGAGGAGCUUCCAAAGCCAGCAUCAGCAAUGUAGUUCCUGCCAUCAAUGGUUACCUGCAGGAGAAGGACACAAGUGGAGACAAAAGUCAAGGAUUUGACUGGAAUGGCAUAUUUUUAAGAAAUUGACAGUGACUUUAUAAAGCUGAUAAUAGGCCUGUGGAUAAAACUGGCCUCACACCUUGUCUAUGCAGUUCCAUUACAGGGUCCUUCACAGGUUUCUGGCCUGUAAUGGGUAAAAGAAGGUCACAUUCCGACAGGCCUAGGAACCCCAAGUUAUUUUGGAACCUUGAGAGAGAAUUCACUCAAUUCGUACAGAGAUGCCUCCUACUAGAAAUCUGAUUGCCUACAUUAUGUCUAGAGGCCUAAACCAUUUGCAGUGCCACCUCCUGGAAUGGGACAUAGCUAUUUAACUGAAAUGAUCUCGCCUCAAAACCAAGAGACUGCCUAAAGAAGAUAUGGAAUGAUAUAUUUAAAUUUGCUCAUUUAUAUUUAUCCUGAA
Macaca mulatta (Rhesus monkey) is the source of this 1549-nucleotide non-coding RNA. The record is from RefSeq and is a predicted model, not a curated record. Lineage: Eukaryota; Metazoa; Chordata; Mammalia; Primates; Cercopithecidae.